CAGCAGCCGCCGCGGUAAUACAGAGGGUGCGAGCGUUAAUCGGAUUUACUGGGCGUAAAGCGUGCGUAGGCGGCUUUUUAAGUCGGAUGUGAAAUCCCUGAGCUUAACUUAGGAAUUGCAUUCGAUACUGGGAAGCUAGAGUAUGGGAGAGGAUGGUAGAAUUCCAGGUGUAGCGGUGAAAUGCGUAGAGAUCUGGAGUAAUACCGAUGGCGAAGGCAGCCAUCUGGCCUAAUACUGACGCUGAGGUACGAAAGCAUGGGGAGCAAACAGGAUUAGAUACCCCUGUAGUCCCUGUCUCUUAUAC
Molecule: ribosomal RNA, 304 nt
Filed under: uncultured bacterium
Lineage: Bacteria
Description: partial 16S ribosomal RNA
Rfam family: Bacterial small subunit ribosomal RNA
Source: RNAcentral